Gavialis gangeticus (Gharial) is the source of this 93-nucleotide long non-coding RNA. RefSeq lists it as uncharacterized. The transcript has 3 exons. The record is from RefSeq and is a predicted model, not a curated record. NCBI's taxonomy places the organism in Eukaryota, Metazoa, Chordata, Crocodylia, Gavialidae.
GAUAUGUUUAUGAGGAUAACCUCUCCAUUGACUUGAGAUCUAGUGAGGGAAUGGUAUGAUAGAAGGGAAAACUUAUCGCCUGGCAAGCCAGCA